This 447-nucleotide ribosomal RNA is filed under the name uncultured bacterium. RNAcentral describes it as "bacterial SSU rRNA". It matches the Rfam family "Bacterial small subunit ribosomal RNA", at positions 355 to 825 of the family's 1533-position model. The record is from RNAcentral.
UCGGGAAUUUUGGGCAAUGGGCGAAAGCCUGACCCAGCAACGCCGCGUGAAGGAUGAAGUAUUUCGGUAUGUAAACUUCGUAAGAAUAGGAAGAAUAAAUGACGGUACUAUUUGUAAGGUCCGGCUAACUACGUGCCAGCAGCCGCGGUAAUACGUAGGGACCAAGCGUUGUUCGGAUUUACUGGGCGUAACGGGCGCGUAGGCGGUGUGUCAAGUCAGUUGUGAAAUCUCCGAGCUUAACUCGGAACGGUCAACUGAUACUGUCACACUAGAGUACAGAAGGGGCAAUCGGAAUUCUUGGUGUAGCGGUGAAAUGCGUAGAUAUCAAGAGGAACACCUGAGGCGAAGGCGGGUUGCUGGGCUGAUACUGACGCUGAGACGCGAAAGCGUGGGGAGCAAACAGGAUUAGAUACCCACGUAGUCCCUGAGCGGGCUGGCAAGGCGCAU